UCACAAAUAAUUCAUCAAACUAACAAUUCAUAAUAAAAGCACAAUCAUUCUACUAAACAAUUGUGUUGUCGUAUUCAAAUUUUUCAUUAACAAAAUUAGGUUUAGGGUUCUAUUUGAACCAUUUUAUAAAACACAUAGUCCAAAAAAAAUUGUCAAAACAUAGAGUACAAACAGGUAAUGAGACAAAACACAAGUUCAAAAAAUGUAUAAACUAUUUUUUAAUAUAAUAUUAAAAGUUGUGUUAAAUUUAGCUGAUAACUCUACAAAAUAGAGUUAUUUUACCACAUUUUAUAAGUCAAUUGUUGCUUAGUUCUUGAGUUUUAAAUUAAUUUAUCAAUUUUUUAAGUAAUUUUGAAUUUAUUAGUUUUAUUUUGAUUUUAUGUAUUUUUAUUUAUUUUUUGUAUUUAUUUUGUUUAAUUAUGUUGUUACUAAUUUAUGUGUGUUUAAUUUCUUUAUGUAGGUGUAUUUGUUGGGGCAAAUGAAAUGUUGAUAAAAUGUUGGUAUAAAGAAAUGAAGAAAGCAAGCCCAAAAUGAAAGGCCCAAUCCAAUUCUUGACAAUGCCAUGUCAUCAAUCCAUGUGCUUCUUUCUCCACCAUUGGAUUUGUAACUAUAGGAAAAGAUGACAAUUUUGAGCAUGAAUCCAUGUGCUUUUUUUUAGACUAAUAGGAGUGUUAUCCUUUACCAAAGAAUUUAUCUAUAAAUAGGAGUCUCAUUUCACCAUUUCAAGCACACCUUCUCUUACACCACUUCUUCCAUCUCUCUAUUCUCUCCAUCUUUUUCUUUUCUUAGAUUAGUUUUUAUGUAUUUUUAGAGGAAUAAUUUGGAGGUUCCUCCUCCAAAUUUUCCUAUUUAUGUUGUAAUUUUUAUUUUUGUUUUUGAUAGUUAUGGGUUUCUAAUCCACUUAAAAUUAUUAAGGUGGAGGAUGAACCAAGAUAUAACUAUAUAGUGUUUAUUUUAUGUUGACCUCCCAAAAUGAGCAAUAAAGUUUAUGAUUUUUCUUCUUCUAAAUAUUUCUUUCAUCUAUAAUAUCAUGUAUUUUAGAUUGUUAUAACAUAUUUUACUUGGUUCUUAAUUGUGCAAAAACAUAGUAUUCUUUGAUUAAGAUGUGUCAUUAAAUUGUUCACAUCCAAUGCUUAGAACAAAAAUACUAUAUUUUGCUUUAGAAAUAACAUUAUUUGAUUUUUUUGUAGUUUCAUUAAAUUGAUUCACAACUAAUGCUUUAAAGUUAUACUAUUGAAGUGAAGGAAAAUCUAUAUUUUUUGAAUUAAAGAGAGCUUAAAGGAAGAAUAAUGUUUUGGAAAAGGUAAUUAGAUUAAUUUCAAUUAUCACUAAAAAUUGGGAAGUCAACAUAUUAAUAAAUAUUAUUAUUUAUAUUUUGUGGAUUCUAAAAUCUUAAUAAUUUUAUAAAUAACUAUUAAAAACAAAUCUUUUUAGUUUAUUUAUUUUAAUUUUUUUUAGUAUUUUCUUUCUUUAUUUUAAAACAAAACACAUCAAUCUUUGGAACUAGGUUAGAAAUUUAUUUCACUUUGGUAAAAAUAGUUUUCUCUUUUGAUUUAAGUCAACUCCUUUGGGUUCGACCUCGUGCUUACACGAACACUAUUCUAUAAAUACGAUUCGUGCGCUUGCGAGUAUAAAUAUUUAAAACAUACCCGUUUUGGGUCCAUCAAGUUUUUGGCGCCGUUGCCGGGGAGUUGCAAAGAAGAGAAACAAUUUGUGUCAAGGUGUAUUUGUUGGGGCAAAUGAAAUGUUGAUAAAAUGUUGGUAUAAAGAAAUGAAGAAAGCAAGCCCAAAAUGAAAGGCCCAAUCCAAUUCUUGACAAUGCCAUGUCAUCAAUCCAUGUGCUUCUUUCUCCACCAUUGGAUUUGUAACUAUAGGAAAAGAUGACAAUUUUGAGCAUGAAUCCAUGUGCUUUUUUUUAGACUAAUAGGAGUGUUAUCCUUUACCAAAGAAUUUAUCUAUAAAUAGGAGUCUCAUUUCACCAUUUCAAGCACACCUUCUCUUACACCACUUCUUCCAUCUCUCUAUUCUCUCCAUCUUUUUCUUUUCUUAGAUUAGUUUUUAUGUAUUUUUAGAGGAAUAAUUUGGAGGUUCCUCCUCCAAAUUUUCCUAUUUAUGUUGUAAUUUUUAUUUUUGUUUUUGAUAGUUAUGGGUUUCUAAUCCACUUAAAAUUAUUAAGGUGGAGGAUGAACCAAGAUAUAACUAUAUAGUGUUUAUUUUAUGUUGACCUCCCAAAAUGAGCAAUAAAGUUUAUGAUUUUUCUUCUUCUAAAUAUUUCUUUCAUCUAUAAUAUCAUGUAUUUUAGAUUGUUAUAACAUAUUUUACUUGGUUCUUAAUUGUGCAAAAACAUAGUAUUCUUUGAUUAAGAUGUGUCAUUAAAUUGUUCACAUCCAAUGCUUAGAACAAAAAUACUAUAUUUUGCUUUAGAAAUAACAUUAUUUGAUUUUUUUGUAGUUUCAUUAAAUUGAUUCACAACUAAUGCUUUAAAGUUAUACUAUUGAAGUGAAGGAAAAUCUAUAUUUUUUGAAUUAAAGAGAGCUUAAAGGAAGAAUAAUGUUUUGGAAAAGGUAAUUAGAUUAAUUUCAAUUAUCACUAAAAAUUGGGAAGUCAACAUAUUAAUAAAUAUUAUUAUUUAUAUUUUGUGGAUUCUAAAAUCUUAAUAAUUUUAUAAAUAACUAUUAAAAACAAAUCUUUUUAGUUUAUUUAUUUUAAUUUUUUUUAGUAUUUUCUUUCUUUAUUUUAAAACAAAACACAUCAAUCUUUGGAACUAGGUUAGAAAUUUAUUUCA
Long non-coding RNA from Humulus lupulus (European hop), 2785 nucleotides. RefSeq lists it as uncharacterized. The transcript has 2 exons. NCBI's taxonomy places the organism in Eukaryota, Viridiplantae, Streptophyta, Magnoliopsida, Rosales, Cannabaceae. The record is from RefSeq and is a predicted model, not a curated record.